This 459-nucleotide ribosomal RNA is filed under the name uncultured eukaryote. RNAcentral's name for it is "bacterial SSU rRNA". It matches the Rfam family "Eukaryotic small subunit ribosomal RNA", at positions 15 to 449 of the family's 1831-position model. The record is from RNAcentral.
UGACGGUAGUCGUAUGCUCGUCUCCGAGACUAAGCCAUGCAAGUCCAAGUACACGUCCUUGAACGACGGAAACUGCGAACGGCUCAUUAAAUCAGUUGCGAUCUACUCGGCGUUCCGCGCCGCCGGAUAACCGUAGUAAUUCUAGGGCUAAUACGUGCGAAGCGCCCGAAGCCGCGAGGCGACGGGCGUUCUCGCCGGAUGUAGGAACCGACCCGGGGACCGCCCGGGGGCAACCCCGGCGCCCCCCGAGACGGGGGCGAACCACGGUGAAAUGACGGAUCGUCGGCCCCGCGCCGGCGACUCGCCGAAUGAGUUUCUGACCUAUCAACUCGAGACGGCGGGGUAGAGGCCCGCCGCGGUAACGACGGGUAACGGGGAAUCAGGUUCGAUUCCGGAGAGGGAGCCCGAGAAACGGCUACCACUUCCAAGGAAGGCAGCAGGCGCGCAACUUACCCUAAU